RNAcentral lists this ribosomal RNA (488 nucleotides) under Salmonella enterica subsp. diarizonae. RNAcentral's name for it is "bacterial SSU rRNA". It matches the Rfam family "Bacterial small subunit ribosomal RNA", at positions 1051 to 1533 of the family's 1533-position model. Lineage: Bacteria; Pseudomonadati; Pseudomonadota; Gammaproteobacteria; Enterobacterales; Enterobacteriaceae. The record is from RNAcentral.
GUCGUCAGCUCGUGUCGUGAGAUGUUGGGUUAAGUCCCGCAACGAGCGCAACCCUUAAGCUUAGUUGCCAUCAUUAAGUUGGGCACUCUAAGUUGACUGCCGGUGACAAACCGGAGGAAGGUGGGGAUGACGUCAAAUCAUCAUGCCCCUUAUGAUUUGGGCUACACACGUGCUACAAUGGACAAUACAAAGGGCAGCGAAACCGCGAGGUCAAGCAAAUCCCAUAAAGUUGUUCUCAGUUCGGAUUGUAGUCUGCAACUCGACUACAUGAAGCUGGAAUCGCUAGUAAUCGUAGAUCAGCAUGCUACGGUGAAUACGUUCCCGGGUCUUGUACACACCGCCCGUCACACCACGAGAGUUUGUAACACCCGAAGCCGGUGGAGUAACCAUUUGGAGCUAGCCGUCGAAGGUGGGACAAAUGAUUGGGGUGAAGUCGUAACAAGGUAGCCGUAUCGGAAGGUGCGGCUGGAUCACCUCCUUUCUAAGGA